Molecule: small RNA, 154 nt
Filed under: Macaca fascicularis (crab-eating macaque)
Lineage: Eukaryota; Metazoa; Chordata; Mammalia; Primates; Cercopithecidae
Also listed under: 2 other names
Description: Metazoan signal recognition particle RNA (ENSMFAG00000060324.1)
Source: Rfam by way of RNAcentral
AGGUGUGGUAGUGUGUGCCUGUAGUCCCAGCUACUUGGAAGAUUGAGGCAGGAGGAUCACUUGAACCCAGGAGUUUGAGACUGCAGUGAGCUAUGAUUGCAUCAGUAGCAUCACUGCACUCUAGCCUAGGUGACAGAGUGAGACCCUGUCUCUU